GGGUGGAGUUACGGGUUUUUGGCUCUCCCACUAGUUUUGAUUUUCAGCCCUCUGCCCUUCCUUGGGAAAGGAGUUUUCAGAGUUGCCAAGAGGGUUCUCCUUUCCAUUAAACCUGCCGUCUCUCACCCAGGGAGCUCCAACUAUCUCGAAGGCAUUGGUUAGGGCACUGGCACUGGAAAAGUUCAGAAUGUCUUUGGGGGGAGUCUUGUACGUUGAGCUAGAGAAAUCUCUUUCAGAAUGGCACUGGGUCUUAAUUUCAUUGUUUUGCCAGCAGGUCCGCCUUUAGAGAGGAAGAGCUGAGAAGGCGAUUCUCAUCGUAUCAGCCUCUUGGAUCAUUUUUAAUCUUGACACGGGGCAAGAGUCAAAGAUCCGAACGUAGAAAACCUGGCUCCGUGACAUCAAAACAGGAUGCGAAAAGCAUGGAAAAAAGAGUUACCCCGGUAAACGCCGGAGGUAUUUGCAUCCUGUGGACUUGGGGAGUCGCCCCAGUAUGAUAGGUUGAAAUUCAGAAAUGGAGAAUUUAGGCUGAGACCCUGGAACAGUUUCUUACAGAUAUCAUCUUUGAGUCUGAAAAGGAAGUGGUAGAAGUCUCGUUCUUUGGGUCAUUAAAAUUGUGACUCGACAAAGCCCGGGGAAACUGUUUGCCUGGAAGCAGGCUUGCACCGUGAGUCCAGAGGUUGUGCUUCCACGAUCGCUGAAAUUUGAGCAGGGCGGACACCAGCGCAGAUGACGGGCAGCCACGAAUCCCUUCACUAUUGACCCUGGGAUCCAGCUACAUGGAAAGGAAGCUGCCCCGUCCCUCAGGACACCAGGGCUCCCAUCAGCUCCCGCUCCAGCCCGGAGAAGGCCUGGACAGGGAGGUCUCCGCCUAAGGAAUGUCUUGAGCAGUUCACCGCUGUUUCUGGAACUGUUGGUCUAAUCCGUGAGGAGUCUGAAA
Molecule: long non-coding RNA, 937 nt
Organism: Ornithorhynchus anatinus (platypus)
Lineage: Eukaryota; Metazoa; Chordata; Mammalia; Monotremata; Ornithorhynchidae
Exons: 3
Source: RefSeq, a predicted model, not a curated record